CUGUUUCUCGUAUUAAUAUAGUUUGGGCAACCUAAUUGUAUACAUCAGUUGCUAAAAUUGUCCACUACACAGUACAAAUAGGCUGUUUAUUUCGCUUUGUUUUGACCUACUCUAUCACAAAAUCACAAAUUAAUAUUGAACGUAUAAACAGUAUUUUUUACCUUUACAAAACAACGUCUUUCCAAAAUUUCUUGAGGUUUGAAGAUUCGUUCCCUGUCCUUCACUAGCCAGGAUGAUUCUUAGUACUUGUGCAACUCGAAACAAAUGUUAAAAUGUCGAAGAAAAUGCAAACACCGAGGCAAACUUCAAAACAAAAAGCUAAAAUAUUUUUGCGAAAAUCAGGGGGAUGCAAAAGUGGUAGCGGGCUCAAAAUGAGCCUUGCUCAGUGGUAAUUACCAUGAGGAUUUGGGACCAGUGGCGUCAUUCUGGCGUCAGCAAAC
Molecule: non-coding RNA, 440 nt
Organism: Paramuricea clavata
Lineage: Eukaryota; Metazoa; Cnidaria; Anthozoa; Malacalcyonacea; Plexauridae
Source: the annotation of a GenBank genome assembly